RNAcentral lists this transfer RNA (54 nucleotides) under Sinentomon erythranum. RNAcentral describes it as "tRNA-Arg". Lineage: Eukaryota; Metazoa; Arthropoda; Protura; Sinentomata; Sinentomidae. The record is from RNAcentral.
UUUAAUAUAGCAUAAUUAAUGUAAUCAGUUUCGGCCUGAAGGAUUUUAUUAAUA